Molecule: ribosomal RNA, 210 nt
Filed under: Nibea soldado (soldier croaker)
Lineage: Eukaryota; Metazoa; Chordata; Actinopteri; Sciaenidae
Description: partial 16S ribosomal RNA
Source: RNAcentral
GCCCAUCAGCUAGCCGCCCCAACCAAAAACAACAAAGCCCUAUCAAUACCCCCCAAAACACUCAAAACACACCAAACAAACCAUUUUUCCUCCCAAGUACGGGCGACAGAAAAGGAACCGUCGCGCCAUAGAAAAAGUACCGCAAGGGAAUGCUGAAAGAGAAAUGAAACAAGCCAGUAAAGCCCCAAAAAGCAGAGAUUUACACUCGUA